Molecule: long non-coding RNA, 425 nt
Filed under: Androctonus crassicauda
Lineage: Eukaryota; Metazoa; Arthropoda; Arachnida; Scorpiones; Buthidae
Source: RNAcentral
CUUAAAGUCAAAUGUCGUAAAAUCUUUUGAGUGCUAGAGGACUUCUGAGUAUAUUUAAUUAGAAGUAUAUUUAUUUGGAAAAUUUCAUCUUCUUCCCAAGUGUGAAAUAGAUAUUCUUGAAAGUCGAGCUCUUCCGACCCCAGGUAGAAUACGAUGCAGCUGCCAGGAUCCUCGAUCUUGGACCUCAAUCGGAACCACUUGGGAAGACUCUGGUGCUAUCUCGGACGGCUCCCAUGGCUCCUCUUUUGGCCGCAAGACAGAGAGGUAUCUCUACCCUGCAGUCCGGUCAAAGCAGUUCCACCGGGUCGGCGAUGGUCGAACUUCCUCUGCGGCUGGGCUGUCUACGGUCGGCACGUCCGCCGAAGGCGAAGGGUAUUCUUUUAUUGCUAUCUGUUCCUCCUGUAAGAGUUGUGCUCCGUUUCGUC